RNAcentral lists this ribosomal RNA (564 nucleotides) under uncultured bacterium. RNAcentral describes it as "partial 16S ribosomal RNA". It matches the Rfam family "Bacterial small subunit ribosomal RNA", at positions 355 to 912 of the family's 1533-position model. The record is from RNAcentral.
UGGGGAAUUUUGGACAAUGGGCGAAAGCCUGAUCCAGCAAUGCCGCGUGUGUGAAGAAGGCCUUCGGGUUGUAAAGCACUUUUGUCCGGAAAGAAAUCCUUGGCUCUAAUACAGUCGGGGGAUGACGGUACCGGAAGAAUAAGCACCGGCUAACUACGUGCCAGCAGCCGCGGUAAUACGUAGGGUGCAAGCGUUAAUCGGAAUUACUGGGCGUAAAGCGUGCGCAGGCGGUUUGCUAAGACCGAUGUGAAAUCCCCGGGCUCAACCUGGGAACUGCAUUGGUGACUGGCAGGCUAGAGUAUGGCAGAGGGGGGUAGAAUUCCACGUGUAGCAGUGAAAUGCGUAGAGAUGUGAAGGAAUACCGAUGGCGAAGGCAGCCCCCUGGGCCAAUACUGACGCUCAUGCACGAAAGCGUGGGGAGCAAACAGGAUUAGAUACCCUGGUAGUCCACGCCCUAAACGAUGUCAACUAGUUGUUGGGGAUUCAUUUCCUUAGUAACGUAGCUAACGCGUGAAGUUGACCGCCUGGGGAGUACGGUCGCAAGAUUAAAACUCAAAUGAAUUG